Mercurialis annua (annual mercury) is the source of this 817-nucleotide long non-coding RNA. RefSeq lists it as uncharacterized. The record is from RefSeq and is a predicted model, not a curated record. The transcript is spliced from 2 exons. Lineage: Eukaryota; Viridiplantae; Streptophyta; Magnoliopsida; Malpighiales; Euphorbiaceae.
CUUAUUUUAUUAUUCACUUCUAUAAACAUUUCUUCUUCUUUAAUUUUCCACAGCUUCUCUCUCUAAAAUGUUCCUCUCAACUCGAAGCUCAUCGAUCACAAUAUAUAUCUAUAUAAAUGCUUAACACUCACAUUUUAGGCUAAAUACGAGAUAUUGGUGCGGUUCAAUCAGAGAGCAGUGCUCUAAAGUUAGAGGUUUGUUGUUUGAUUGAGCCGUGCCAAUAUCACGUAUAUGUAUAUGUUUUUGAUUUCCAUGCAAAGUUGACGUACCAAUAACUCAAGCCAUGUAGGCAUUUGUCGAUAUAAAUGUUAUCUGCCACUUUCGUCAAGAGAUCCUUCCUUAAGUUUGGAAGAAUUUGUCAGUCAGCGUCUCUGAUCGGAAGCUUGCAUUCCAUAAAGCAUUCUCAUCUUCGCCACAGCGCUUGUGAACUUCCAUCAUCCUCUCAACAGACUUGCAGAUUCCGCUACAUUUCCAAUCAAAUGAAGCAGCACAAAUGUUGCCUAGCUGAGCCUUCCAUUCACAAUCUGCAGGUACAUGUCACAGCAAGAUUUUAUAAAGAGGUAUAGCACCGCAUUUCUGGCGCACAACACUCCUCGAACAAUGUUGUAUUGUUGAGUAAAUUCUCAUUUUUUCGUUAGAAAUUGGAAUCUUAUUAUGACAUGAUUUCACUGAACUUAUAGUUGUGGUUGCAUAUGUAUCUUUUUUGUGCUGAAGGUUCAGAUGGCCUAAUCAAUUAUUAUGUUUGGCUAACAAGCCACAGUCAAUUAAAAUGUACUUAAAUCAAUCCUACUCUAAUGAGUUUCUGGUUUUCUCCAAA